UACGUAGGGUGCGAGCGUUAAUCGGAAUUACUGGGCGUAAAGCGUGCGCAGGCGGUUUUGUAAGCCAGAUGUGAAAUCCCCGGGCUCAACCUGGGAAUGGCAUUUGGGACUGCAAGGCUGGAGUUUGGCAGAGGAGACUGGAAUUCCCGGUGUAGCAGUGAAAUGCGUAGAUAUCGGGAGGAAUACCGAUGGCGAAGGCAGGUCUCUGGGCUGACACUGACGCUCAUGCACGAAAGCGUGGGGAGCAAACAGG
RNAcentral lists this ribosomal RNA (253 nucleotides) under uncultured bacterium. RNAcentral's name for it is "partial 16S ribosomal RNA". It matches the Rfam family "Bacterial small subunit ribosomal RNA", at positions 524 to 776 of the family's 1533-position model. The record is from RNAcentral.